UACGUAGGGGGCGAGCGUUGUCCGGAUUUAUUGGGCGUAAAGAGCUCGUAGGCGGUUCGAUAAGUCGGACGUGAAAUCUCCACGCUCAACGUGGAGGGGCCGUUCGAUACUGUCGUGACUCGAGUCCGGUAGGGGAGUGUGGAAUUCCCGGUGUAGCGGUGAAAUGCGCAGAGAUCGGGAGGAACACCCGUAGCGAAGGCGGCACUCUGGGCCGGCAUUGACGCUGAGGCGCGAAAGCCAGGGGAGCAAACGGG
This 254-nucleotide ribosomal RNA is filed under the name uncultured bacterium. RNAcentral's name for it is "partial 16S ribosomal RNA". It matches the Rfam family "Bacterial small subunit ribosomal RNA", at positions 524 to 776 of the family's 1533-position model. The record is from RNAcentral.